GUGCACCAGGCGCGAAAGUGUGACGGGGCCAUCCCGAGUGCCGUCCGCUGAGGACGGCUUCUCCCCAGUGUACACAGCUGGGGGAAUAAGGAGAGGGCAAGCCUGGUGUCAGCCGCCGCGGUAAUACCAGCUCUCCGAGUGGUGGGGACGCUUAUUGGGCCUAAAGCAUCCGUAGCCGGCCGGGCAAGUCCUCCGUUAAAUCCAACGAUUCAAUCGUUGGGCUGUGGGGGAUACUGUCCAGCUUGGGGGCGGAGAGGCCGACGGUAUUCCCGGGGUAGGGGUGAAAUCCUAUAAUCCCGGGAGGACCACCAGUGGCGAAGGCUGUCGGCUAGAACGCGCCCGACGGUGAGGGAUGAAAGCUGGGGGAGCGAACCGGAUUAGAUACCCGGGUAGU
This 394-nucleotide ribosomal RNA is filed under the name uncultured microorganism. Its description in RNAcentral is "bacterial SSU rRNA". It matches the Rfam family "Archaeal small subunit ribosomal RNA", at positions 343 to 745 of the family's 1478-position model. The record is from RNAcentral.